Molecule: long non-coding RNA, 572 nt
Filed under: Trifolium pratense (red clover)
Lineage: Eukaryota; Viridiplantae; Streptophyta; Magnoliopsida; Fabales; Fabaceae
Description: long non-coding RNA (TPRA_LNC006640)
Source: RNAcentral
AUCUAUUCUAUAAUACAAAUUAUUUAAUAAGGUAACAACUUCUUAUAAAUUGAAUAGGAGGUAGUAUUUUGUUAUUGCCCACUGGUCACUACUAGUUAUGUUUGUCACCUUUCCCAUCGCUAAUAUUUGACCCACCGCUCGUUGUUCUGAGAUUUCAAACACAAAAAUAAUUAGGGAAAACAAUUGAUGAGAGUACUUUUGGAAGAAUAAUAUUAAAUAAAGUUAAUUUUAGUAUUCUACAAAAAAAAAGAAGUUAAUUUUAGUAACAUUUGUUUAUAUUUGAAGCUAAAUUUUUUUGUUAACUUUUACUCAUAAAUAAGGUUGGAGAGAGUACCAAAAAAAUAAAAGGUUGGAGAGAGUAUUUUGUUGUUGAAAUAAGUUUUGUGUGUGUGUGUAUUCAUUAUAUUUAAAAAUUUGAUGAAAUUAAAACGUACUGUAGUGAUGAAAUUAAUAAGUUUUGUGCUAAGGUUUGACGAGAAGAAAUAAAUUAAAAGAAAGAAGUUAUAUAUAAUUACGUACGUGAAUGUGGAUCUAACUUGUCUUAACAUGGAAUUCAACAUUUGAAUUGUGUU